This 439-nucleotide ribosomal RNA is filed under the name uncultured bacterium. RNAcentral describes it as "partial 16S ribosomal RNA". It matches the Rfam family "Bacterial small subunit ribosomal RNA", at positions 339 to 795 of the family's 1533-position model. The record is from RNAcentral.
CUACGGGAGGCACCAGUGAGGAAUAUUGCACAAUGGGGGGAACCCUGAUGCAGCAACGCCGCGUGGAGGAUGACGCAUUUCGGUGUGUAAACUCCUUUUAUAUGUCAAGAAAAUGACGGUAGCAUAUGAAUAAGCACCGGCUAACUCCGUGCCAGCAGCCGCGGUAAUACGGAGGGUGCAAGCGUUACUCGGAAUCACUGGGCGUAAAGGACGCGUAGGCGGGUUGGAAAGUCAGGUGUGAAAGCCUACAGCUUAACUGUAGAACUGCACUUGAAACUUCUAAUCUAGAGUAUGGGAGGGGGAGGUGGAAUUAGUGGUGUAGGGGUAAAAUCCGUAGAUAUCACUAGGAAUACCUAAAGCGAAGGCGAUCUCCUGGAACAUUACUGACGCUAAGGCGUGAAAGCGUGGGGAGCAAACAGGAUUAGAUACCCGGGUAGUC